Molecule: long non-coding RNA, 1390 nt
Filed under: Equus asinus (donkey)
Lineage: Eukaryota; Metazoa; Chordata; Mammalia; Perissodactyla; Equidae
Description: lncRNA (ENSEASG00005034196.1)
Source: RNAcentral
UCUUGGAAUAGUGUGCUUUAAUCAGUAACACAUUGCUUCUUUUCCUUCCUGGACAAAAUUAAGAGCAGAGAUUCCCCAGCCAGCAUGGAGAAGGAGAACUGGACCAUGGUGAGGGAGAGCCUUCUGACAGGGAGGCAGCCACCAGAGCCCUUUGGGGCCUCCUUGUCUUGAUUUUGUAUUGUCCUAUGUGAUGACUGUCCUUGAAAGUGCCCUCAUCUUUACCAGGAUUCUUGUGGAUUAUAGGCUUCACUCACCCAUAUAUUUCUUCCUUAGCCAGCUGUCCUGUCUUUCAUUGAAAUGUUAACCACGACCUGUGCUAUUCCCAAGAUGCUGACAGGCUUCCUCUCAGAGAGGAAGAGCAUCUCAUUUGGUGAAUGCUUCGUGCAAGUCAUUUUUCUACUUCCUCUUUCGAUGCACUGAGUUUGUCCUUUUUUCUGUGAGGUUCUAUGACUGCUAUGUGGCCAUUUGCAGCCUCCUUUAGUACCGGGUGAUUAUGACCAGCUUGUUUAGUGUCUAUCUUGUCAUCCUCUCCUGGAUGGAUGACUUUUUCUUCAUCCUCCCAUCUACUGUCCUUAAGGCAGGACUGCCAUACUGUGGCCCCAGUGUGAUUGAUUAUUUUUUCUGUAACAGUACCCACUUGCUCCUCUAGGCCUGUGCUGAAAUCCCUGUCAUCGAGCUGUUGGACUUCCUCAGCUCCUUUGUCCUACUCAUCAGCUUCUUUACCUCACAGUGGUCUCCUUUGUUUACAUCAUCUCUACCAUUGUGAAGAUACCCUCAGGCCAAGGUCAACAUAAAGCCUUUGGCACCUGUGCCUCUCACUUCCCUGUGGUCUCCAUGGGCUAUGGGAUCUCCAUCCUUGUCUAUGUCUGGCCCUCACAGAAGUGCAGCCUGCAUCUUAACAAGAUCCUUUUAUCCUCUCCAGUGUCAUCACAUCACUCCUGAAUUCCUUCAUCUUCAGUCUACAGAAUGAAUCCAUGAAAGACGGAUUGAAAGUCAUCUUGGCUAAGGGCCAGAACUUCCUCAGGGGAAUGAGAUCCAAGUGAUAGUGUAUUUGAAUGAUCCCAAACCUGGGCAUUCCUAGCCUUACAGAGAAUUGUUCAGUUUAACAAUGCCAGCUUUCUGGGGUUAUGCCUCCAGUAAUGACAAAUCUCACGUUUGUGACAGAAUAUACCCUCACAGGAUUUUCGACCAAUAAAAAUAUGUACAUUUUGCAUUCAGUGCUCUUCUCCUUGAUUUAAUUCUAUGCCCUCAUGGGAAAUGUCUUCAUCAUCAUGAUCACAACUUUGGACCAGCAUCUCCACACCUCCGUGUACUUCUUCUUGAAGAAUUUAUCCUUCUUGGAUCUCUGCCUAAUAUCAAUCACAAUUUCUACAUCCACUGCCAACUCUUU